This 288-nucleotide unclassified non-coding RNA is filed under the name Hevea brasiliensis (rubber tree). Lineage: Eukaryota; Viridiplantae; Streptophyta; Magnoliopsida; Malpighiales; Euphorbiaceae. The record is from RNAcentral.
CGCCUGGUAUCUCUUGCUACAAUCAGUUGUUUUUUCAAGGAACUUAAUAGAUCAUUAGCUUUUCCACAGGAUACACAGUAAAAGGUGCCAUUAUUGCCCUUGUCUGAUUUAUCAGUUGUAAUACAAGAUUUUCCGUGCUUCAUGGCACACUCAAGGUGGCAUGACAUCCCACAUGAAUCCCCUUGAAAAGGAGGUUCUGAGCUGCAAAUCAACCAUAGACUAGGGUCCUUGUUGUCAUCGUAGUUACGGCAAAUACAACAUGAACACCUUUUGCAAAAUGCAUCUUGG